Long non-coding RNA from Branchiostoma belcheri (Belcher's lancelet), 334 nucleotides. RefSeq lists it as uncharacterized. Lineage: Eukaryota; Metazoa; Chordata; Leptocardii; Amphioxiformes; Branchiostomatidae. The record is from RefSeq and is a predicted model, not a curated record. The transcript is spliced from 3 exons.
CAGUGUAGGGGCCUUGGCAUGGUCUGCUGUGGUUGAUAGGAUAUUCUAUGGGAAGUGGGUUCUGGUUCAGUAUAACUUCCUGGAGUUCAACGUUCUGAGUGACCAGGGCUCGUUCUACGGCAGCCACCCCUGGCACUGGUACCUCACCCAGGGCUUUCCUGUCGUCAUGGCAACACAACUUAUCCCCUUCGUCUUUGGCGCCAUGAAGUUCUGGAGGAAGCAAAAGCUGGUUUUGCUCAUAGUUCUUUGGACAGUGAUGGUUUACAGCUGUCUUGGCCACAAGGAGUUUCGUUUCAUCAUGCCUGUUCUGCCUUUAGCCAUGAUUUCAUGCGGU